UGACCACAAAGUGAUGGGGCACACAAGUGGAACACUUACCAUUUCAUAAGGAAUGCUUCUACGAAGAUAUAACAUUUAACCUCUAUUGAGAGAAAAUAGGAGUUUUCCAGGGCAAGGGAGUAGGGGCAGGGUGGUAAACAGCAUUUUGGGAAUGGGGAUUUCAUGUACAAAUAUGCAGAGAAUGACACAGCCAAAUAUAUUCUAAACAUGAAAUAGAUAGAAGAUGCAAAGUUGGCAAAGCAUAAUGAAAAAUGAUAUGCAAAAGGUAUUUUGACUCAAUUUACAGAGUGCCAUUCAGAAGUUAACUGAUCAAUACAAAGGGUAUCUGACUCACUCUGUGUUUUCAAGAGACAGGCUUUCCAAAAACACUGAGAAUAGACGGAGAAGAUACACUGGGGGAAGAAAAGACCAGCAAACUGCACCAGUGGGCCCCUCAUCUUGUACGUGCAUCAGGCCCAAAAACUUAAUUUCACCUCUGACUGUGAUCAACAUAUUGAUGAAGACUGGCUAUGUGGAUGCUGGAAGAUGGGGAAAACUUGUUUCAAGCUGAACAUUAUCCUUGCCAUUAACUUGCUUAAAGAGGCUGGAUUCAUCUGGGCAGUUUUCACUGCUGCAAGUUAGGCACCUUAUUCCACAAGGUGCAAGUAGCAUGGAAGAGAAAAGCAAAGUUCAUAGGCAAAACUUCCAAGAACAAAGAUCUCUGAAUUGGGAUGAAAUUCUAACUGCCAGAUUUGCUCUCUAUAUCUCUCUUGAUAUGUUUUCUACUUACUAUGGAGUGACAGUUGUUGUGGAUGGGAGGAUUGAAAAUGGGAAGAACUAAUCAAAGAUAUAAUGUUGUGGAAAGGACUGAUAAGCUACACCAACCUGUGUCAUAUUAUUCUUUUUCUUGGAGCUCAGCAUGAGAGCAGGCAAUAACAGGAGAAUAACUUUAAAAAAAUCUUUAAAACCAGACUCAUUGUCUUCAUUCCUAGGACUUACAGAGACCAAAGCUCCUGAAGUACCAUCAUUCUACCAUGGAUACUGUGAAGUGGUACCACCGUAAAUCCAUGUCCUCUAAUGUCAGCGGACUAUCAGACCCAGUCAGAGAUGGGUGGAGGUGAUCCGUACAUUCCCUACAAAUUUUGGUGCCCAACGUGGGGCAUCCUUCACUGGCUGGAACACUGCUUGCUCGAAACUGCUGCACCUGAAAUCCUGGCCCUCUGACAAAAGGCCAGCAAAGGUCCCGGGAGCCAACUCCUUGAAAUUUAAGUAUCAAGGUAGACAGUGCCCCUAUGUUCCAGGCUCGCGGGAGUUACCCGAAGCGCCUUGCUCCAAGCCGUAAGUACCUGUUUGUCACAGAGAUAACGUUUUAUUUUUCCUUUGGAUAAAGGCAAUUAACCAACACAGGCGGCCACUCCAACGGUGAACUACCAAAAAUUGAAUACCAAACCAUGUUAACUCGUCUUACAUGAGAAGAUGCGUGUGCUUUGGCUACAUAAAAUGUGAGAUUUUUGUCUCUCUUUGCAAUCUCAUUAGUGGAUUGCCUGUAACACCCAUUCCGGUCUGGUUCGAUGCUUACAGAAUAAUACACCUUUUUUUUCUUUUCUACAUUUGUGGAGAUUUUCUAGGAUGGCAGGAGAUUUUUUUAAAAUUUUUUUUCUCGACAAUAUCAAUUUAUUUAGGUCCCUUACUUUUACUAGCCACCCCCUUCCCACUUGCUUCCAAUGGCAAAUUAGAAUGGUAACUUGCCCCUU
RNAcentral lists this long non-coding RNA (1733 nucleotides) under Homo sapiens (human). RNAcentral describes it as "HSALNT0377766". Lineage: Eukaryota; Metazoa; Chordata; Mammalia; Primates; Hominidae. The record is from RNAcentral.